RNAcentral lists this long non-coding RNA (793 nucleotides) under Equus caballus (horse). RNAcentral describes it as "lncRNA (ENSECAG00000052372.1)". Lineage: Eukaryota; Metazoa; Chordata; Mammalia; Perissodactyla; Equidae. The record is from RNAcentral.
GGUUGUCAUAAUGGUUGCCAGGGGAAUUGGGGUGGGGGUGUUGACUGGAAAGGGGCAGGAGAAAAGUCCCUGUGGCUAAUGGAAAUGUUGUUUAUCUUGAUCUGGGUAAAGAUUACACAGGACUGCUUUCCUCUGGCUCUAUGAGUUGAACCUGGCCCUUUGCCCAGAACACCUCUCUGUGUGCUCACCUAGGGCCACUGGCUGUCAUAUCCUGAUUCACCAACCCAAAAGGGGGCUGGAGAAGGGAUCCUGGGAAACCACUGGGCCACGUUCAGUCUCCUCCCAAGGAAUUUGAAACAUCUUUGGCCAGAGCACGAAAAAUAUCUUCGAUUUCCUGGCUGGAGAGCACAGCUCUGCCUUUGGAUAUCACACACAAGCUGGAGAAAGCUCCACAAGGCAGUGUUUUCUCAGCUUCGCACCAUCGGUUCCUCUCUGUCUGUGGCUGGAUGAAACCAGAAUGACAUCAAAGACCAUGAUGAUGGAGCCAUGAGAUGGAAUCAGACUGCUUGGAAGAGAGUACCUCACCUGUAUCCAUCUUUGAUGGGAACCAAUUGCUGCCAGUCUUCAGAAUAAAGGAGGCAUCAACCAGGAAAGGCUAGUGGAGAGACUAGACUUCACCCUCACCUGGUGCUCUCAUCACUCUUAUUCAACAAGUACUCAAAGUCCUAGCCAGUGCAAUAAGCAAGAAAAGGAAAUAAAACGCGUACAGAUUGGAAGAGAAUACACCUCUCUAUUUGCAGAUGACAUGAUGGCCUAUAUAGAAAAUUUCCAUAAAUCUACAAAAAAAAAUCUA